Long non-coding RNA from Felis catus (domestic cat), 5258 nucleotides. RefSeq lists it as uncharacterized. The record is from RefSeq and is a predicted model, not a curated record. Lineage: Eukaryota; Metazoa; Chordata; Mammalia; Carnivora; Felidae. The transcript is spliced from 4 exons.
UUGACUGAGCCACCCAGGCACGUCAAGGGUCUUCUAAAUCAUAUACAAAGUAUAUUUUUUCACUUCUUUAUUUAAUAAUUCUCAUUAAUAAUUCUCAUUAAUUCUUUAUUUAAUAAUUCUCAUUAAUUCUCAAUAAUGUCUUAUAAUUUUCUCUGUAGAGACCUAAAGGGAAAGCAAAAGCAGAUUUAAAGUAAACUUCCAGAUCUUGGUUUUGAAUGACAAGGUCCUAGAUGCUGUCGUGUGUGUGUGUGUGUGUGUGUGUGUGUGUGUGUGUGUGUGUGUGUGUAUGUGUGUGUGUGUGUGUGUAUGUAUAGCAGUGAAAGAAAGCACUGACAUCAUUUUCAGAUGCCUUUGGGGGCAUACAGUUCAGGAUAUCUUGGAAGAAUUUGAGACUCUUGAAAGUCUUGAACUUAGUGACAGUUUAUUCAUGUACUCAUUCAGUAUAUAUUUAGUGAAUACCUGUUAUGUUCCGGUAAAUUUACUAGGCACUUGAAAUAAAAUGGUAUAUAAAACAUUUACAAAAAGUAAAGACCCUUGUUAGAGAGUCAAAUAUUAAUCAAAGAAUCACACAAAUUAACACAAAUUUCCAGAAGUCAAUUGAGAGGAAAUGAUAAAAUAAUGGAAGUCCAGGAAAGCUUUUCUGAGUAAGUGUUCGAAGUCUUGUAUUGGGAGGAGAAUUGAAUGUGAUCCUGCAGAAUAAAAAGGUUAAGAUUCUACAAGAUGCAUCAGAUGGUAGAGCAAGAAGGAACGACCUAAGAGAGGUGACAUUGUGGAGUCUUGGAUAUAUGCUAAGGUGCUCAUCUUAGAAGCACUAUGGGAAACUGAAAGGUUUAUGCUAUGUGGCUCCCAUAUUAGUACAAAUGGUACAGAUUUUUAAAAAUUUCCAAUACUGCAAAAUGUUCUGUUGAACUGUUCUGGAAUAGUGGUUUCAUUUAUCAGUCAAGUACAUAAAAGUGGAAAUUGAAACCUGGUCAUUGAUGAGCUUGCUAGGAGAAAGUAUAGUUAGAAGAUGGCCUUAUUUUGAGAAACGCAAAUGUUUAAUGGCUAGGAGAAAUAGAGUUAGCCUAAAAUGACACAGAGAAGGAAAAGCUUGAAGGCUAAGAAGAAACUCAGAUAGAAUGAUGCCCAAAGGACUACUUUAAAAGGAAUAGUUCAUUGUAUACAAUUCUCCAGACGAGUCAAGUAAGAUGAAGAUAGAAAAUUUCUGCUGGAUUCAGCAAUAAAGUGGCAUUAUCAGGAGCUGUUUUAAUGAGAGUGAAAUCCAGAAUACAAGUGAAUACAUUAUGUAUGGAUAACUAGUCAAGAAGUUUAGAUGCAAAACAGAGGAGAGAAAUAGCAGAGACUAGAAGGUAUUAUAGGAUCCUGAUAUUUUUGUGGGUUUUUUUUUAAAAGGGAGAGACACGAACAUAUUUACAUGCCAGUUGGAAUGGUGUAUUAAAGGAGAGAAGAUAAAUUUACAAAAGAAAGAACAAGAUAAUCUAACUUUAAGAUUCAAGAGACUUGAAAACCAUGGAUUCAUAACUGGUGGCUAGCUGCCUAGUUAAGUCUCUAUACCUCAGAUUAAGAGUGAGCCUGUGGGUUAAACAGGACUGAUUUAUGGGGUCUUUGGCAGGGGCAUUACAGGUGUAGGUGUGCAAAGAACGUGACAGGGCUCAAGAAGGGGCAGUUCUAGGGAGAGACAGCUAAAAACGUGAGGCCAUUCUAGAACUGUGAAGACUAGGAGACAGUAGAAGACUUGAUGUAUUGGAGGGCUCAAUGCAGUUAUGAGCACAUGUUUCUGAGUGAAGAAAAAGAGAAUGGGCAGGAUAGGAGGUCAAGGCCAAAUGUGAACAGAAUUUGAAAUUUGAAAGUGGGACACCUCCAGGUGUGACACAACUAGUGAAUUUCUAAGAAGAUGGCAGGGAUUGAGGUAGAAAUGAAAACUGUUAAUGGGGUUCUAAAGUCCCUAAUGAAUGUUGGGAGAGGAUGAUGGAGCAUUAAAAAUGGUAAAAACCUAAUGAAAUUAUAUUCAGAGUGAGGAGUGGUGUAGUCAUGAGUAAGUUAUCAGCCCUAUUAAACUUUGAGGUUUCACUUGUAAAAAAAAAAUCAUAAUUUUUCCCAAAAGUCAUUGAUGUUAAUGUAUUGACAUGGAUAUAUGGCUUAUAUACUAUACUGAAAGUAUAAUAUAUAUGGGAGAAAAAAAAUCAUGUUCUUUCCAUCAUCCAUAUGUUGAUAAUUGCCAAGUUGCUAAUACUAGGAUGUAUCAAGUUUAAUAAACAAUGGCGAUCCUCAAGAAAAUUGCUGUUGCUGAUGGAAGAAAAUUGCCAUGAUCAUGUGCGGUUCCGUGAUGACCAGAGGCCCAGUAUGGGACUUAGACUAUUCUUUCUGUCCAUAGAAAAAGUAUCAUUGGUGAGUGACAUCAUAGCAUAGAGGUGGGUCUAAGGAAAUUUCUUCAUUUGCUCUGGUAAACAAAUGCUUAAGCAUUUUCACACUGCCGUGAUUUGAAGAAAACUAGUGAUAUAUUGCUUCAGAAACUCCAACUGCAAAACUGGGUCACCAAAGUUCAUGCCUCACAGGGAUCCAGAAAGAGAAAGCAUGUGCUUCAGCAUCUGGAAAAAUGCAUUUCUAAUAUGAACUUGUGUCUUAAGGAAAUUGAUCAAGUUCAAAACUGUACAGAGAGUGUUUUAUAAAGCCAACUGAAUCUACUCAUGGUAGACAAAUCAGCAAGGAGACAGCUUUGAAAAAGCUCUGCCUGGUACAGGCCACCCUGUGAUAUAGUGGAAAGUUUGCUAAUACCAGGAAUGAAAGAAGAGUAUUCAUAGGAAAACAAGAAGUGUGAGAAUUAAGGAUUUUACUGCAAGUCAGAAAUAUGGCUUCACAGAUUUUAUUGGGUCAUAAGCAAGAUUUGUUUGUAUUUUUCUAAUGCAAUGGGCAGUCUCAUAAGUAAUUCCUCCAUGGAUUCACAUACCUUAAAGUCAUAUCCUCUAUCUCUGAAAGUCUGUGUAAAGUUGACAUGCUUGAUUGUCCACAGAACACAUUUAUGACAAGUGGGAUAAUUGGGUAUUUGUCAGCUCUUACUGCAAAGUUACUACUUUAAAUCAUGAGAUUUAAGUCAGAAAUAUUGACUAGCCAUAGUGAUUCUAAAGAAGCACUUAGCCCCAAAUUUUAUGUCUCCUAAAACUAAUUCCAGAAACAUUUUCAAAAUUUUAUUUACUUCAGUAUUAGUAUCUAUUGUUGUAAGAGAUACUCAGCCUAAUUGUUGAAUAUAGGGGAAAAGAAUAAAGAAAGGUAGAAAAAUGGGACUUUCUAUAACUUAGCUGUUUCUCACAUUUUUUGCAGGAAUCUUUUGAUAAUAGGGUGUAACAAGAAAAAUAAAAAACUAAAACAGUCUUAUCCCAUAUCCUAAGAAAAUUUAGUAAAUUGGUUUCUCUUUAUAGGAAUUUUUGGAAAAGGUUACUUCAAGUGUUAAUACGGCCGUCCAAAUGAAAACACUAGCAAGCCUAAUAGAAAACCAGGUUAUAGAGAUUUAUGGCGAGGUAGAGAAAAGAAUAAGGAAAAAAACCAAUUAGUUGAUAAGAAUUUACAGUAUAAUAAUUUUGGAGGAGGUAUGAGUUGAAGGGGGAAGAAAGGGAGCUCAAAUAGAAAAGAUCAGAGAACAAAGAGUCUAUUGAAUCACUUGGUUAAUUAACAUUCCAUUCGUCUUUACAUGAGUUAUAUCAAUAUUUCCUAAUCCAAACUAUAAACGGGCUUUCUCUUUGGUUGGUGAGAUAGGAAAUGAAGGGAGAAGAAGAGGAGAAAGAACAUGACACAGUUACUGUCAUAGAGAAAGGGAAUGGAAAAUCAGUUGGGCUAUGGGGGCUAAUAUGUACCCCUCAGGGCCACGGGGCAGUUGUUGGCAAAAUACAUUAGUGAUACAAACGUUUCUACCAACUUCAGUUUCUUACCGAGACCUCUGCUUCUCUUUGUUUAAGACAUACCACAUUUUUCUAAAGGUGUUUUGUUGAAAUGAGCAAAACAAAUUUAAAAGAUUGUCAAAAGCUGUAAAAAGUUAUCAGAAUCCCCUAGAAUAAAAGCAUUGCUAAUUAGACAGUGAUGAGGUGUUUGAUCACUGACCAAUGAACCUGUGUUUUGCACAUUUAUACUACAUUAUUUUGCUAACAUAUUUUGAGGAAGGUUCAGUUUUAUAUUAAAGCUUAUAAUUUUAAUACUGAAUAAACCCAUCUAUGUUUAGCGCAUGAAUGAAGAAAGUAAUGCGGUCAUUAUAGUUUCUUCUUUUCCUUUGAGAACAAUUAUUUUCAAACAUGUUUUCCCGGAGACUCUUUCCAAGUUUCAAAAUAGCGUAUCACAAGUCCCCUUUAACUUUGCUUUGGUCAAUGUUCUGUUUAAUUCAUACUUUGCUGUUCUGAUGUUGGCCUCCAGAAGGCAUGGAUGGAGUGACCUUAGCUUCAGUGUUCAUGCUGUCACCUUUUCCACUCACAUCUAGAAGGUUACAUGAGUAAGCAUUCCCCUACAUUCUGGUUUGCCAUGCCAAUGGGUAUUUGUGUGUGUGUGUGUGUGUGUGUGUGUGUGUGUUUGUGUUGGAAUGAAUUCCAAUGGAACCUACCUUCCUCUGACAGUUCAAUUCUGGGCAUAAGCCAAAGAAGCAAAUGUUGUUUAUCAUUCCUAUUGUAUCAUGUAGGAUAUGAAAAUCUAAAUAACCCAGAAUUAAUUGCUCCUAAAUUUUGUUACCUCAAACUCUGCUCCCCUAGGUAUCUGUAUUUACCAUGCCGCAGCAUACUACCUCACACACCUCUCUUGUUACUGCACUAUGAAGUCCUGGGAGUUAUGGAGCCAAAUAUAUAGAUGAGCAAGAUGGAACUUGAUAAAGCAUCUGGAAUUGAAAAUUCUCACAGUAGGGCCUGCUAACUUGAUUGCCUCAUCACCAUGGCAACGCUCAUCGGUCAGUAUAGCCAGUGCCACAACCUCAGGACUUUGUUGUUGUUCAACUUACACACAACAAUAGAACCAUAGUGGUCUUCAUGUCUUGAGACAAUAUAUCUUAGUGAUGAAGAGUAUGAACUUCAGAUGGACAGAUGGAUAUGACUUGAAAUCAUAGCUGUGCUCUUUAUCAGCUGAAUGACCUUGUGCACAAGACUUAACCCAGAUAUCACUUUGGGAGAAAAAGAAUAAGAUUACCUGUCUCAAUAUUUGGGAUACUUAAGAAAACUGAACACAGAUCCAAAAGUAAAUGUAAAAGGUAAGAAAGAAAUUAUUUAAACUCUUAUACAUGAGACCAUGAA